Molecule: ribosomal RNA, 463 nt
Filed under: uncultured bacterium
Lineage: Bacteria
Description: bacterial SSU rRNA
Rfam family: Bacterial small subunit ribosomal RNA
Source: RNAcentral
AUCAACGCUGGCGGCGUGCCUAACACAUGCAAGUCGCACGGGAAAGGGGAGCAAUCCCUGAGUAUAGUGGCGAACGGGUGAGUAACACGUGACUAACCUACCCUCGAGUGGGGGAUAACCUCGGGAAACCGGGGCUAAUACCGCAUAAGACCACGGGGUGAAAUUCCCAGGGGUCAAAGGGGAAACUCGCUGGGGGAGGGGGUCGCGGCUGAUUAGCUAGUUGGCGGGGUAACGGCCCACCAAGGCAAUGAUCGGUAGCCGGCCUGAGAGGGCGCACGGCCACACUGGAACUGAAACACGGUCCAGACUCCUACGGGAGGCAGCAGUGGGGAAUUUUGCGCAAUGGGGGAAACCCUGACGCAGCAACGCCGCGUGGAGGAUGAAGCCCCUUGGGGUGUAAACUCCUUUCGAUCGGGACGAAAACACUGACGGUACCGGAAGAAGAAGCACCGGCUAACUCUGU